RNAcentral lists this transfer RNA (72 nucleotides) under Epichloe festucae E2368. RNAcentral's name for it is "tRNA-Trp (CCA) (tRNA-Trp-CCA-1-1)". It matches the Rfam family "tRNA". Rfam says of the family: Transfer RNA (tRNA) molecules are approximately 80 nucleotides in length. Their secondary structure includes four short double-helical elements and three loops (D, anti-codon, and T loops). RNAcentral also lists the same sequence under 1 other name. Lineage: Eukaryota; Fungi; Ascomycota; Sordariomycetes; Hypocreales; Clavicipitaceae. The record is from RNAcentral.
GGGGGGCUGGCGCAACGGUAGCGCGUCAGAUUCCAGACCUGAAGGUUAUCGGUUCAAAUCCGGUGUCCCUCA